This 245-nucleotide ribosomal RNA is filed under the name uncultured bacterium. Its description in RNAcentral is "partial 16S ribosomal RNA". It matches the Rfam family "Bacterial small subunit ribosomal RNA", at positions 524 to 768 of the family's 1533-position model. The record is from RNAcentral.
UACAGAGGGUGCAAGCGUUAUUCGGAUUUACUGGGCGUAAAGCGCAUGUAGGCGGUUUGGUAAGUCUGGUGUGAAAUCCCCCGGCUCAAUCGGGGAAGUGCAUCGGAUACUGCCAGACUAGAGUACUGGAGGGGAGAACGGAAUUCCUGGUGUAGAGGUGAAAUUCGUAGAUAUCAGGAGGAACAACGGUGGCGAAGGCGGUUCUCUGGACAGUCACUGACGCUGAGGUGCGAAAGCGUGGGGAG